Molecule: ribosomal RNA, 246 nt
Filed under: uncultured bacterium
Lineage: Bacteria
Description: partial 16S ribosomal RNA
Rfam family: Bacterial small subunit ribosomal RNA
Source: RNAcentral
UAGGGAGCAAGCGUUAUCCGGAAUUAUUGGGUGUAAAGGGUGCGUAGACGGGACAGCAAGUUAGUUGUGAAAGCCCUCGGCUUAACUGAGGAACUGCAACUAAAACUAUUGUUCUUGAGUGCAGGAGAGGAAAGCGGAAUUCCUAGUGUAGCGGUGAAAUGCGUAGAUAUUAGGAGGAACACCAGUGGCGAAGGCGGCUUUCUGGACUGUAACUGACGUUGAGGCACGAAAGUGUGGGGAGCAAAC